UGGUUCCCAGCCGGCGCCAGGACAGGUGUUGGGGGCCCACCUCCUCACUGGCCAGCCCGAUCCAGAGUGGGGUGCGCAGCCCCCGGGAGGCCUGCGUGAGAAAGGCCUGGGUGUAGGGGUCAGGCACGCGGGCCAGGCUGGCGUUGCGGCUCUCACACAGCAGGAGGGCAUCGUGCCAGCUCAGAGGCUUCUGCAGCAGCCGGAAGGUGCCGUUGAGAAAAGGUAUAAGACUCUCUUGAAAUAAAAUUCUGAAGACCGUUAAGAACUCCCGGACGCCAGGGGCUGGCUGCACUCCACUACAGGACAAAGGUUUACGGAUUACACGAUCUAGUGCUGACUAAUCUAAUCUUCACAAUCCGGCUAAGUGGCGUUACCACCUUGGCAAAGCAAGCACGGGCGGAAGCUCACACUCCUGAUGCCGCGCAGACAAGAAAAUCACACUCCUCUCUUCCUGGGACGAGCUCUUGUGGGCCACGAGGUAAAAACAAUGAAGGUCUAAUCAGAUCUGAUCAAUCAACCCACGAGGACAGAAGCAACCACUUUGGGAAAGAAAUUCACACUCUCAAAGGAACAUUUUCAAGAUCUGUUUCGAAACCUAUCCCUUCUGAUUCAUGUUAUGGCCCCAAACUUUCCUAUCUGCACACUCAAAACCCUUGGGAAAAGAAUUUCCUAAAUGGUGUUC
Molecule: long non-coding RNA, 682 nt
Organism: Suricata suricatta (meerkat)
Lineage: Eukaryota; Metazoa; Chordata; Mammalia; Carnivora; Herpestidae
Exons: 2
Source: RefSeq, a predicted model, not a curated record